CGCACGCUACAUCCUGCUAUUACGGUUACAACGGACCGAGCUACUUGGCUUCACGCGAGCCCUCGCGGCGCUUCUCCGGGUCCCGGCCGGCGGCGGGGUCCCCGUGGCCGACGGCGACCUUGGCCACCUCAGUGGCCGGCGUGCCGGACCUGGCCUUCUGGUACAAGACAAGGUAGCCGACGACGCCGACGAUACCGAACCCCACCAGCGCCAUGGUGCCCGGGCCGUACGGCAGCGGGCGGCGGCCGCGCUGGUGCAGCACCUCUCCGGGGCCCCGGCCCGGCGGGCGCAUCGACUCCUCCACCCCUGCCGCGCGCACCUCCUCCGCGCUCAUCUUGUGCGUGUCGGCGUUGCGGCGCCACUCCUCCGUGCCGCUCUUGGCCAUUGUUUGUUGCUCUGCUAGCUCUCCCCUGCGUUUGUGAGCU
Molecule: unclassified non-coding RNA, 425 nt
Filed under: Zea mays
Lineage: Eukaryota; Viridiplantae; Streptophyta; Magnoliopsida; Poales; Poaceae
Description: misc RNA Zm00001eb095590
Source: RNAcentral